Molecule: unclassified non-coding RNA, 224 nt
Filed under: Mycobacterium simiae
Lineage: Bacteria; Bacillati; Actinomycetota; Actinomycetes; Mycobacteriales; Mycobacteriaceae
Description: partial contains 16S ribosomal RNA and 16S-23S ribosomal RNA intergenic spacer
Source: RNAcentral
CCUCCUUUCUAAGGAGCACCACGAGAAACACUCCAAUUGGUGGGGUGUGAGCCGUGAGGGGUUCUCGUCUGUAGUGGACGAGGGCCGGGUGCACAACAACAGGCAAUCGCCAGACACACUAUUGGGCCCUGAGACAACACUCGGCCGACUUCGGUUGAAGUGGUGUCCCUCCAUCUUGGUGGUGGGGUGUGGUGUUUGAGUAUUGGAUAGUGGUUGCGAGCAUA